RNAcentral lists this ribosomal RNA (199 nucleotides) under uncultured bacterium. RNAcentral describes it as "partial 16S ribosomal RNA". It matches the Rfam family "Bacterial small subunit ribosomal RNA", at positions 328 to 538 of the family's 1533-position model. The record is from RNAcentral.
ACGCUCGACACCUACGGAGGCAGCAGUGGGGAAUAUUGCACAAUGGGGGAAACCCUGAUGCAGCGACGCCGCGUGAGCGAAGAAGUAUUUCGGUAUGUAAAGCUCUAUCAGCAGGGAAGAAACUGACGGUACCUGACUAAGAAGCACCGGCUAAAUACGUGCCAGCAGCCGACGGUAAUCUGAGCGGGCUGGACAAGGC